RNAcentral lists this ribosomal RNA (429 nucleotides) under Bacillota bacterium. RNAcentral's name for it is "Firmicutes bacterium partial 16S ribosomal RNA". It matches the Rfam family "Bacterial small subunit ribosomal RNA", at positions 355 to 776 of the family's 1533-position model. Lineage: Bacteria; Bacillati; Bacillota. The record is from RNAcentral.
UAGGGAAUCUUCGGCAAUGGGGGCAACCCUGACCGAGCAACGCCGCGUGAGUGAAGAAGGUUUUCGGAUCGUAAAGCUCUGUUGUAAGUCAAGAACGGGUGUGAGAGUGGAAAGUUCACACUGUGAUGGUAGCUUACCAGAAAGGGACGGCUAACUACGUGCCAGCAGCCGCGGUAAUACGUAGGUCCCGAGCGUUGUCCGGAUUUAUUGGGCGUAAAGCGAGCGCAGGCGGUUUGAUAAGUCUGAAGUUAAAGGCUGUGGCUCAACCAUAGUUCGCUUUGGAAACUGUCAAACUUGAGUGCAGAAGGGGAGAGUGGAAUUCCAUGUGUAGCGGUGAAAUGCGUAGAUAUAUGGAGGAACACCGGUGGCGAAAGCGGCUCUCUGGUCUGUAACUGACGCUGAGGCUCGAAAGCGUGGGGAGCGAACAGG